AGUAGACUCAGACGGCCAGACCGCGCAGAGCAUGAACCUCCAGUCGAGCCAAUGCUCAGGAGCAGUGGUGUCGACGGCCAUGGCUGAUGAUGGCAUUGCUGCAGUGAUGAGGCGUUCUGCAGCCAGAUUCAUAAUACAGGAUAUUACUACUCAAACCAUGCAUGUUCUUCUACUGCAAAUUAGAUUCUUGCGCCAAGAUAAAGAGAGGAAUUAUUCUUGCCGACGAAGGGAGAAAUGAUCAGUACUACGAUUCCUAUCAUUUCGAGACACACAAAAGAAAAAGAAAAUCGACGCUAGCCAGAUGCUAUAUAUCCUGAUACCCUGCAACCUGGAGCCCCACGCAUGCAGAUGGUAAAGAUGCAAAUCUUUAUUCCAUUUCCAUGAUUCCAUCCACACAAAAAAGAAACGAACAAUACAGAGAAGAACACCAAGAAACACGCAUCGGCGCAGAGGAGGGUGGAAAACGAACCCAAUCUCAAUGGUGAUUGGGUUCUUGUUUCUUGACUUCUCCACCUUUUCCUGCCGCCGCCUCUCUCUCUCCGUCGAUUCCUCUCCCUCUCACGACCUCGACGCCUUCAUCGGUGGCACACGCACAUCACGGCGACAAGAACGUAGGAGAGAAAAUCAUAAAUGCCGGACAGGAACACGGAGGAGGAAUCAAUCAAUCACUCACUCACUCACUUCUGAUUUGGGCUUGAGAGAGAGAGAGAGAGAUCUCCAGAGUCAAGCCGCACGUUGGCUCCUGCUCUCUCCGGAAACCACGUGAAUGAAUCCCCUCCUCUUCCUCCUCUCUCUCCUCCACCUCACUCACUCUCAACCACAAGGAACGAACAAACCGAAAAGAAGCCAACCAACCAACCACGUACGUGCUGUCGUGCUGCAGCGCCGCUGGGUCGGGCGACCACGGCCGGUAGUUCUCCGCGAGCGCCCGGCACCCCACCGCCGCGUCCCACCGCGCGUACGCGUCGCCGGCGCCGCUGACAGGGCCGACGCGUUCGCCGGCGAGCGCGCCCACGUCGGCCGAGCGGGACGAGGAGGCGGAGAAAGCGGAGAAGCCGUCGCGCUCGCACGCUGCCUCCGCCGGCGGCCGUCACGGCGCUGCCCUCCCGUCUCGCCCCGGUUAGCUUGCAGAGAAGUGAGAGAGAGGAGGGGAAAAAGAGAGGGUGACGUGGACACCUGACAUGUGGGGACUAUGUGGGUCCCACGAGGACUAAGCCGCCAACCUUCAGCCAUCUUGUAGUGCGUGACUCAACCGCUCAUCGCACCUCGGCUCACUGCUCAAUGACCAAGCGGGAGAUUAGGCUCUCUCUGCUCUAUCCUAUUUUCUUAGCCAAGUGCAGUUGCGUUAAGUAGCACGCCCCCCCUUUCUACUCUACCUUGACUAUUGAAUUGAAUUCAAACUUUAAUUGCCCUGCUUCAUUCUCGCCAUAUUGAGAUUCUAUGGAAGAAAUGAAACGUUACCCGCCUACUUAUACUUCUUAUAGCAAGCAUCCUCUUAGCCAAGAAGUCCUAGAAGUGAAGCCCCUUUCAAGCUUUAGUCUUCCUCAAGUGCUCCCACUAACUAAGCAUGCCAAACUUCUCCUAGCGUGCAUUUCCUGCAUCAUUGGCUUAGUGACCGGACCAAAACCAGGGUCAAAACCACCAAAGACAUUGGGUGACC
This 1660-nucleotide long non-coding RNA is filed under the name Oryza sativa (Asian cultivated rice). RNAcentral describes it as "long non-coding RNA (OSAT_LNC001719)". Lineage: Eukaryota; Viridiplantae; Streptophyta; Magnoliopsida; Poales; Poaceae. The record is from RNAcentral.